RNAcentral lists this ribosomal RNA (592 nucleotides) under uncultured fungus. RNAcentral's name for it is "bacterial SSU rRNA". It matches the Rfam family "Eukaryotic small subunit ribosomal RNA", at positions 829 to 1438 of the family's 1831-position model. Lineage: Eukaryota; Fungi. The record is from RNAcentral.
GUCUGAUGUAUUCUGUUGGUUUCUAGGACCAUCGAAAUGAUUACAUAGAAGAGCGGACGGGGGUAUCAGUAUUCAGUUGUCAGAGGUGAAAUUCUUGGAUUUACUGAAGACUAACUACUGUGAAAGCAAAGACCAAGCACGUUUUCUUUAAUCAAGAACAAAAGUUAGGGGAUCGAAGAAGAUCAGAUACCGUCGUAGUCUUAACCAUAAACUAUGCCGACUAGGGAUCGGGUGUUGUUCUUUUAUUGACGCCCUCGGCCCCUUACGAAAAAUAAAAGUCUUUGGGUUCUGGGGGGAGUAUGGCCGCAAGGCUGAAACUAAAAGGAAUUGACGGAAGGGCCCCCCAAGGAGUGGAGCCUGCGGCUUAAUUUGACUCAACACGGGAAAACUCACCACGUCCAGACACAAAAGGGAUUGACAGAUUGAGAGCUCUCUCUUGAUUUUGUGGGUGGGGGUGCAGGGCCGUUCUUAUUGGGUGGAGUGAUUUGUCUGCUUAAUUGCGAUAACGAACGAGACCUUCACCUGCUAAAUAGUGCUGCUAGCUUUUGCUGGUAUAGUCUCUUCUUAGAGGGACUAUCGUUUUCAAGUCGAU